RNAcentral lists this ribosomal RNA (323 nucleotides) under uncultured bacterium. Its description in RNAcentral is "bacterial SSU rRNA". It matches the Rfam family "Bacterial small subunit ribosomal RNA", at positions 28 to 334 of the family's 1533-position model. The record is from RNAcentral.
GACGAACGCUGGCGGCGUGCCUAACACAUGCAAGUCGAGCGGGGACUUAUGGAAUGAAGCUUCGGCAGAAUGAAGUAAGUUCUAGCGGCGGACGGGUGAGUAACGCGUGAGCAACCUGCCUAUCACAGGGGAAUAACGCAUCGAAAGGUGUGCUAAUACCGCAUGAGACCACAGGACCGCAUGGUCAAGGGGUCAAAGAUUUAUCGGUGAUAGAUGGGCUCGCGUCUGAUUAGCUAGUUGGUAAGGUAACGGCUUACCAAGGCAACGAUCAGUAGCCGACCUGAGAGGGUGACCGGCCACAUUGGGACUGAGACACGGCCCAA